RNAcentral lists this ribosomal RNA (253 nucleotides) under uncultured bacterium. RNAcentral's name for it is "partial 16S ribosomal RNA". It matches the Rfam family "Bacterial small subunit ribosomal RNA", at positions 524 to 776 of the family's 1533-position model. The record is from RNAcentral.
UACAGAGGGUGCCAGCGUUAUUCGGAAUUAUUGGGCGUAAAGGGCGCGUAGGCGGCCAUGCGUGUCUUCCGUGAAAUCCCUCGGCUUAACCGAGGACGUGCGGAAGAAACUGCAAGGCUCGAGUCCGGAAGAGGGGGGCGGAAUUCCCAGUGUAGCGGUGAAAUGCGUAGAUAUUGGGAGGAACACCAGUGGCGAAGGCGGUCCCCUGGGCCGGAACUGACGCUGAGGCGCGAAAGCGUGGGUAGCAAACGGG